GCUGAGUGUAGGAAAGUGAUGAGCCCUGACACCAGAACACCAUUUGAAAUCAAAGAUCGUUUUGUAUUUGUGUGGACACGGCCUGAAACAGGGGCUGACAGGCCUUGUCCAGCCCUUAAUCACCAGUUUGAGAUCCCUGCUUUAAAAGAAAUUUUACCUUAGAGAA
This is a long non-coding RNA of Thalassophryne amazonica, 166 nucleotides long. RefSeq lists it as uncharacterized. The transcript is spliced from 2 exons. Lineage: Eukaryota; Metazoa; Chordata; Actinopteri; Batrachoidiformes; Batrachoididae. The record is from RefSeq and is a predicted model, not a curated record.